ACGACCCUGAACAGGAUGUGUUCCAUAGGGUUGUACCCUGUUGUCCCAUUAAUCUAAACAGAGUUUGUUGGAUGAACUGUGGCUUUGUGAUCUGAGCUUCCUCUUAGUGACAUCUGUAGAUGAUCUUUCACAAUUAAAGAUACGGUAGUUCUCAGCCACAUGGGUCACAGGAUAGUCCGACAGACU
This 186-nucleotide small nucleolar RNA is filed under the name Phaseolus vulgaris (common bean). RNAcentral's name for it is "snoRNA Plant_U3". Lineage: Eukaryota; Viridiplantae; Streptophyta; Magnoliopsida; Fabales; Fabaceae. The record is from RNAcentral.